This 1119-nucleotide long non-coding RNA is filed under the name Apteryx haastii (Great spotted kiwi). Its description in RNAcentral is "lncRNA (ENSAHAG00000002912.1)". The record is from RNAcentral. Lineage: Eukaryota; Metazoa; Chordata; Aves; Apterygiformes; Apterygidae.
AUGUUAAAAAAUGACAGCUUUUUUUUUUUUUUUACAGGACGUGACCCGGUGACCGUACACACCCCCAUCCCCAUUCAGGCAUGGGUGACAGAUGAUACCAUCAGGGCCCAUGUGGGGGUGGCCCAAGCUGCAACUCRGUGGAMAUGGAAACACUAUUUACAAGCCCGGUUUAAGGCAGGGAGAAAGGACAUGAGCACCCCGCAUGCAACCUUGUUAGGGGAGGUACGUUUUGAGCACAUGCCUCUAUUGUCAGAGCCAGAGGGSCUGCCCCCCCUUGCUCCCCCAAUAGAGCCAUCGCCUGUCCAAAGGCCCCUCCUUUUGAGACGUUAUCUCCUGAGCAACGAGAGUGGGCCUGGUUUUCUGAUGGCAGUGCAGUGUAUUCCUGGGCAGGAGAGCGAGUGUGGCGCUCUGUAGCAURUAAUCCUGCCACGGAUACUAUCUGUUUUGCCUCAGGAACGGGAUACUCAAGUCAGUGGGCUGAACUAAAGGCUGCAGCUAUAGCUCUCGAUGAGGGAGAUGCACGCUACCUCUAUUCGGAUAGCUGGGUAGUAUACAAGGGUCUGCGAACCUGGUUACCAACAUGGGCCGCUGCACAGUGGAAGAUACAUGAUAAGGAACUCUGGGGGAGCCCCUUGUGGGAAAGGAUUUGGGACAUUGUGCAAACUAAAUCUGUGUCUGUGCAACAUGUCGAUGCCCAUCAGAAGCAGACCCUCGAAACUCAGCAUAACACAGCAGUCGACCAGAUGGCAACUCCCUCARAGUUAAAGCAAGCUUGGCAAGCGCAWGAACGAUCAGGGCAUCGUGGCCCCAUCACAGCUCAGGCUUGGGAUCUAUCAUGAGGCCAUCUCAUGUUAGCCCUACAUUGGUAUAAGACAGCCCGUGCUAACUGUCCCRUUUGYAUGAAGAUAACARAAGUGCCUUUCACCAGCACAUACGGUCGCAUCAAGCGAGGCGAACAACCCUUUGCGACCGGGCAGGUAGAUUAUGUAGGCCCGUUACCCCCCUCACAGGGGCGAAAGUAUAUAUUGACUGCUGCAGACACUUACACAGGCCUUAUGUAUGCAUAUCCUACCUCCCAUGMGAAUCAAUCCUCUACUGUACGGGGCUUAGAGCAGCUCA